Molecule: ribosomal RNA, 460 nt
Filed under: uncultured bacterium
Lineage: Bacteria
Description: partial 16S ribosomal RNA
Rfam family: Bacterial small subunit ribosomal RNA
Source: RNAcentral
CCUACGCGGCGCUGCAGUGAGGAAUAUUGGUCAAUGGACGCAAGUCUGAACCAGCCAUGCCGCGUGCAGGAAGACGGCUCUAUGAGGUGUAAACUGCUUUUGUACGAGGGUAAACGCAGAUACGCGUAUCUGUCUGAAAGUAUCGUACGAAUAAGGAUCGGCUAACUCCGUGCCAGAAGCCGCGGUCAUACGGAGGAUUCAAGCGUUAUACGGAUUUAUUGGGUUGAAAGGGUGCGUAGGCGGUCGGAUAAGUUAGAGGUGAAAUCCCGAGGUUCAACUUCGGAAUUGCCUCUGAUACUGUUCGGCUAGAGAGUAGUUGCGGUAGGCGGAAUGUAUGGUGUAGCGGUGAAAUGCUUAGAGAUCAUACAGAACACCGAUUGCGAAGGCAGCUUACCAAGCUACUUCUGACGUUGAGGCACGAAAGCGUGGGGAGCAAACAGGAUUAGAUACCCGUGUAGUC